This 234-nucleotide long non-coding RNA is filed under the name Ananas comosus (pineapple). RNAcentral describes it as "long non-coding RNA (ACOM_LNC038382)". The record is from RNAcentral. Lineage: Eukaryota; Viridiplantae; Streptophyta; Magnoliopsida; Poales; Bromeliaceae.
CAGCGCAAGGCGAGGGCGUGGCUCAGUAGAUAGCGCCCCACCACAGAGACCGAGGUAGCAGUACCCUGAGACAGUUUAGCUUAGGGGUCUAGAAGACAAGAAAAGAAAAUGUAUCAAACUUGAUAACUCUAAUGCAUUAAUGAGAUUGUAAUUUGGGAAGUAAAAAUGUAAACAGAAACUGUGAUGUAUAACGUGAUUGCGAAAUGAAUGCUUGUAAUAGCAAGUAGAUUAUGU